GUUGGUGCUCUAACAAUGGCACUGACCUUUCCAUAGUAAUUAGUAAGUGUUAUUUUGUUGGGGUAGUUUAA
RNAcentral lists this microRNA precursor (71 nucleotides) under Astyanax mexicanus (Mexican tetra). RNAcentral describes it as "miR-430 microRNA precursor family". It matches the Rfam family "miR-430 microRNA precursor family". The record is from Rfam by way of RNAcentral. Lineage: Eukaryota; Metazoa; Chordata; Actinopteri; Characiformes; Acestrorhamphidae.